GAUGAACGCUGGCGGCGUGCCUAAUACAUGCAAGUCGAGCGAACAGAUGAGGAGCUUGCUCCUCUGACGUUAGCGGCGGACGGGUGAGUAACACGUGGAUAACCUACCUAUAAGACUGGGAUAACUUCGGGAAACCGGAGCUAAUACCGGAUAAUAUAUUGUACCGCAUGGUUCAAUAGUGAAAGACGCUUUUGCUGUCACUUAUAGAUGGAUCCGCGCCGCAUUAGCUAGUUGGUAAGGUAACGGCUUACCAAGGCAACGAUGCGUAGCCGACCUGAGAGGGUGAUCAGCCACACUGGAACUGAGACACGGUCCAGACUCCUACGGGAGGCAGCAGUAGGGAAUCUUCCGCAAUGGGCGAAAGCCUGACGGAGCAACGCCGCGUGAGUGAUGAAGGUCUUCGGAUCGUAAAGCUCUGUUAUUAGGGAAGAACAAAUGUGUAAGUAACUAUGCACGUCUUGACGGUACCUAAUCAGAAAGCAACGGCUAACUACGUG
Molecule: ribosomal RNA, 497 nt
Filed under: uncultured bacterium
Lineage: Bacteria
Description: partial 16S ribosomal RNA
Rfam family: Bacterial small subunit ribosomal RNA
Source: RNAcentral